Molecule: ribosomal RNA, 424 nt
Filed under: uncultured Sphingobacteriales bacterium
Lineage: Bacteria; Pseudomonadati; Bacteroidota; Sphingobacteriia; Sphingobacteriales
Description: bacterial SSU rRNA
Rfam family: Bacterial small subunit ribosomal RNA
Source: RNAcentral
UAAGGAAUAUUGGACAAUGGGCGCAAGCCUGAUCCAGCCAUGCCGCGUGAAGGAUGAAGGCCCUAUGGGUCGUAAACUUCUUUUAUACGGGAAAAAACCCCCCGACGUGUCGGGGGUUGAUGGUACUGUAAGAAUAAGGGUCGGCUAACUUCGUGCCAGCAGCCGCGGUAAUACGAAGGACCCGAGCGUUAUCCGGAUUUAUUGGGUUUAAAGGGUGCGUAGGCGGAUUGAUAAGUCAGUGGUGAAAGCCUCCCGCUUAACGGGAGAAUUGCCAUUGAUACUGUCAGUCUUGAGUAUGGUUGAGGUGGGCGGAAUGUGUCAUGUAGCGGUGAAAUGCUUAGAUAUGACACAGAACACCAAUUGCGAAGGCAGCUCGCUAAACCAUAACUGACGCUGAUGCACGAAAGCGUGGGUAGCAAACAGG